Molecule: ribosomal RNA, 657 nt
Filed under: Trigonopsis californica
Lineage: Eukaryota; Fungi; Ascomycota; Trigonopsidomycetes; Trigonopsidales; Trigonopsidaceae
Description: LSU rRNA
Rfam family: Eukaryotic large subunit ribosomal RNA
Source: RNAcentral
GCAUAUCAAUAAGCGGAGGAAAAGAAACCAACAGGGAUUGCCUUAGUAACGGCGAGUGAAGCGGCAAGAGCUCAAAUUUGAAAUCUGGCGUCUUACGGCGUCCGAAUUGUAAUUUGUAGAGGUAACUUUGGAGGCGGUCCUUGCAUAUGUUCCUUGGAACAGGACGUCAUAGAGGGUGAGAAUCCCGUACGUGGUGGGGUGCCCGUCUCCUUGUAAAGUGCCUUCGACGAGUCGAGUUGUUUGGGAAUGCAACUCUAAGUGGGUGGUAAAUUCCAUCUAAAGCUAAAUAUCAGCGAGAGACCGAUAGCGAACAAGUACAGUGAUGGAAAGAUGAAAAGAACUUUGAAAAGAGAGUGAAACAGUACGUGAAAUUGUUGAAAGGGAAGCCUUUGAGAUCAGACAUGGCUUUCGGUGAUCAGCUACCCUUCGUGGGUGGUGCACUCGCCGUUGGCUGGGCCAACAUCGGUUCGGAUGGUGGGAUAAAAGCAUUGGAAUGUAGCUUCUUCUGAAGUGUUAUAGCCUUUGUUCAUACCGCCUGUCUGGACCGAGGACCGCGCUUCGGCUAGGAUGUUGGCGUAAUGAUCUUAAAGGGCCCGUCUUGAAACACGGACCAAGGAGUCUAACGUCUAUGCGAGUGUUUGGGUGUAAAACCCGUAC